ACCUACGGGAGGCAGCAGUGAGGAAUAUUGGUCAAUGGCCGGAAGGCUGAACCAGCCAAGUCGCGUGAGGGACGACUGCCCUAUGGGUUGUAAACCUCUUUUAUAAGGGAAGAAUAGAUGCUACGUGUAGCAUGAUGCCUGUACCUUAUGAAUAAGCAUCGGCUAACUCCGUGCCAGCAGCCGCGGUAAUACGGAGGAUGCGAGCGUUAUCCGGAUUUAUUGGGUUUAAAGGGUGCGUAGGCGGUUUUUUAAGGUAGUGGUUAAACGUCGGGGCUUCACCUUGAUUUUCCAUUAAUACUGUAAGA
RNAcentral lists this ribosomal RNA (305 nucleotides) under uncultured bacterium. Its description in RNAcentral is "bacterial SSU rRNA". It matches the Rfam family "Bacterial small subunit ribosomal RNA", at positions 337 to 640 of the family's 1533-position model. The record is from RNAcentral.